UACGGAGGGUGCAAGCGUUGUCCGGAUUUAUUGGGUUUAAAGGGUGCGUAGGCGGCUUUUUAAGUCAGCGGUGAAAGUUUUCGGCUCAACCGGAAAAAUGCCGUUGAUACUGGGGAGCUUGAGUCACGGAAGGGUACAUGGAAUUGGUGGUGUAGCGGUGAAAUGCAUAGAUACCAUCAGGAACACCGAUAGCGAAGGCAUUGUACUUGCCGUGAACUGACGCUGAGGCACGAAAGCGCGGGUAGCGAACAGG
This 253-nucleotide ribosomal RNA is filed under the name bacterium. RNAcentral describes it as "partial 16S ribosomal RNA". It matches the Rfam family "Bacterial small subunit ribosomal RNA", at positions 524 to 776 of the family's 1533-position model. RNAcentral also lists the same sequence under 1 other name. The record is from RNAcentral.